AAAAAACAAACAAAUCUGGGACUCCCGGGGUAAAAGCCAACUCCGCAUUAAGCCACUUCCUGGGUCUGCCUGACCCUCACAUGCAUGCCUUCUACCUUACCCAGAAGCACAAGCAAACAGGACCUGACUUCUUUCAACAUGGAGCUGUCCUCCAGCGGCAUCAGUGCUGACCUCAGCAGGGUUACACUGUGACCUGGCUGCCCUCCCGGGAAAAGACUUCGUUGCUGGCCUCGGGAGCCCCUCGUUACCAGCACGUGGGCCGAGUGCUGCUGUUCCAAGAGCCACAGGGUGGAGGACACUGGAGCCAGGUCCAGACAAUCCAUGGGACCCAGAUUGGCUCUUAUUUCGGUGGGGAGCUGUGUGGCGUCGACGUGGACCAAGAUGGGGAGACAGAGCUGCUGCUGACUGGUGCCCCACUGUUCUAUGGGGAGCAGAGAGGAGGCCGAGUGUUUAUCUACCAGAGAAGACAGUUGGGAUUUGAAGAAGUCUCAGAGCUGCAGGGGGACCCCGGCUACCCACUCGGGCGGUUUGGAGAAGCCAUCACUGCUCUGACAGACAUCAACGGCGAUGGGCUG
RNAcentral lists this small RNA (575 nucleotides) under Pongo abelii (Sumatran orangutan). RNAcentral's name for it is "processed transcript". The record is from RNAcentral. Lineage: Eukaryota; Metazoa; Chordata; Mammalia; Primates; Hominidae.